UGGGGAAUCUUAGACAAUGGGCGCAAGCCUGAUCUAGCCAUGCCGCGUGAGUGAUGAAGGCCUUAGGGUUGUAAAGCUCUUUCAGCUGGGAAGAUAAUGACUGUACCAGCAGAAGAAGCCCCGGCUAACUCCGUGCCAGCAGCCGCGGUAAUACGGAGGGGGCUAGCGUUGUUCGGAAUUACUGGGCGUAAAGCGCACGUAGGCGGAUCAGAAAGUUGGAGGUGAAAUCCCAGGGCUCAACCUUGGAACUGCCUUCAAAACUCCUGAUCUUGAGUUCGAGAGAGGUGAGUGGAAUUCCGAGUGUAGAGGUGAAAUUCGUAGAUAUUCGGAGGAACACCAGUGGCGAAGGCGGCUCACUGGCUCGAUACUGACGCUGAGGUGCGAAAGCGUGGGGAGCAAACA
This 402-nucleotide ribosomal RNA is filed under the name uncultured bacterium. RNAcentral describes it as "bacterial SSU rRNA". It matches the Rfam family "Bacterial small subunit ribosomal RNA", at positions 355 to 774 of the family's 1533-position model. The record is from RNAcentral.